Bos grunniens (domestic yak) is the source of this 1694-nucleotide long non-coding RNA. The record is from Ensembl. Lineage: Eukaryota; Metazoa; Chordata; Mammalia; Artiodactyla; Bovidae.
GGUGGGAGGGUGGGAGAAGGAGCUGAUUCAAAGAGCUAGUGCCCAGGGGGGAAAUAGCAACAAGAUUACGGCUGCUUCUCUCUAAGGCAAAGCUUAAGAAGGUGCUAAUCCACUCGGUCGCUAAUUGAGAGGUUGUAAAAAUGAUAUUCGCCUCCAAUUCGGACAGUCUCUAGGAUUCCUCCCCCCGCCGCUUAUGCUCAGUGGACUUGAGUUGGAGCUUCUUUACUGAUUGUUACGAAGUAAAGGGAGAGAGAAAAAGAAUGCAGGCUCUCGCUGGUCUGGGAUGGGCCCGCUGCCUCGCUGCCUGGGAUCCUCUGAAAGUCGCGGUCCUACGAAGUCUCGCACAGAAGGCGCCGACCGGGGCGCCCAUCGCCACCUCCUUAGCUUCUUUGGUUUGGGUUUUCUCCCGGCGCUGUAUGGCUCCUGGGCCGCUGGAAGGGCCUUCCGCAGGCCGAGAUGGUGAUCGGGUUGUGCUACCCCAACUCUGGUCCAGAAAGGGGAGACCUCCCAGCUCACCCCGCAGCUCUGCCCGGCCUCUCCGCUGCGGCGUUAGUGGGCGCAGGUAGGGGAGGAGAACGUAAGACCCACGUUAGGCCCGGAGCCGGCCCAAGGCAGCCUGCAGCCUCCUCGGGGUCCCAGCUCCCGGGGCAGCCGUCGCGCCGCGUGUCAGCGCUGAAGGGGAAUUGCCUCCGUGGACUGAGCAGACCCAGGAGAGGGAACCGUCGUGCGAAAGACUCACACACCACAGAAGAUAACUGGUGGCACACACGGAUACACGCUGACACGCCGACAUCGCGAGCGAGCGAGAACGCGCGCGCAACACACACACACACACACACACACACACACUCUCCCAGCAUUGGUCGUUUCCCUCCACUCCAGGCCUCCACCCCCCUUCUUAUCUCCCCCUUGCGUCCCCUCCUCUCGGGCGCCUGGAAAAACAGCCGCACUGUCAACAAAUGGCACGUGGGAGAAGUUGGUGAGUGUUUGGUGAGGACUCUUCAGGCUUUUCACAAGAACCCUCUGUACACAAAGUAAGUGGCGUGUUUGCUCGGGCCUCUCCAGCCCCGGCUGUGCCUCCGCUCCACUGCGCACCGCGCCUUCCGAAAGGAGAACGAACAGAAGAAAGGGCCGGGGGAGCGAGGGUCGGGGAAUGGGCAGGCCCCAAAGGCCUGCACUGGGAAGGCCGCCUGGCCUCGCCAAGUGCCCGGCCGGGCGGCCUCCUCUCGGCCUAAGCUUCGCCUUAGCCUCAGCGCGAGUGUGGCUGCCGGGACCCAGUGACGCUAACGCCCUUUUCUCGUCGUCUUCUCCGCGGCCAGGUGGGCUAGGGCGCGGCCACUGCGGUGUUCGCGUCCCAGGGUCCAGACGGAGAUGGGGUAGGGACGCGAGGGGAGGGCGGGCGGAGACGGGGCAGCAGGCCACGCUGCACAGGAGUUGGCAAGAAAGAGAAGCGCGCAGCUACAGAAACUUGCUCCAUCCAUGAGCUGUGAGUCCCGCGCCCAGCUGAAGUGUGUGGGAGGCGCGACCCCCAGCUCAGCGGCCUUCACUCCACCCCUCAAGUUCGCGGCCACAGAGCUGGCCGCGCUGAUUCCCGGAGUGCUCUGAGCCUUAGAGAUGUCGCGAGCGCCAGCCCCAGAGCCCAGGCGCGGGGGGCCCAGCGCCGGGGAGAGCAGCGGGGACACACCGGCGGGGCC